UGGACAAGACGACCUCCUAUGAGGAGAGGAGGGUUCCCUGCAGACAAAGGCAGAGGAACAGGGGGCAGUCACAAAGGAGGCGUGAGAUGCUACUGCUGUGGGAAGACUGGUCACGUAAGAAGCCAUUGCUUUGAUUGGCUACGAGGGUCACGAGGAGUGCCUAGACCAAAGGGGUCCGCUACUCAAUGUGGAGGCCCCUCAGCUGGUUACUAGAGAGGACCAGACACCUGCAGGAUUCAUGAACUUUGUUGAUGGGCUCCAUCAAAAGUCACAGAUUCAGAGGCCUCAGGCUUUUUGGCUUUUGAUGGAGCCCAUCAACAAAGUUCAUGAAUCCUGCAGAUGUCUGGUCCUCUCUAGUACCCAGUUGAGUGGACUCCACAUUGAUCAGCGGACCCCUUUGGUCUCGGCACUCCUCGUGAGCCUCGUAGCCAAUCAAAGCAAUGGCUUCUUACGUGACCAGUCUUCCCACAGCAGUAGCAUCUCGCGCCUCCUCUGUGGCUGCCUCCUGUUCCUCUGCCUUUGCAUGCUGGGAACCCUCCUCUCCUCAUAGGAGGUCGUCUUGUCCACCCUCCUGGUAGAAUGUACAUCACCUGAGGUGUGGCCAUGCCUGGUGGUGUAGGUGGGGUCUGAGGCACGCUGGCUGGUUGAGCAGAGACCAUCCUCGUCUCUCUUUUCUCCCCCUCUUCCCGCUGCUGCUGGUGUGUUGGUUCUUUCACUGCCUCCUUUGCCUGCUUCAGACGCAGCUCAACAGCAUGAAUCACAUGCUCAGUUAUUUGUUGUAGUGACAAGUUGCAAAGUCCCACAGUGUCAGUCAGAUCAUUCUGUUCCGGUUUUGAAGGCCAGGGCAGAUUUUGACACUUUGCCCUUUUGAUCAGCAGAGGAAGUCCAUCAGAAACCUCAUUUACCCGUUCGUCACCCACACACACUGAUUCCUCAUCUGACUCAGCCCACAGUGAUCUAACUGCUCUGUCACGCAGAUCACUUUCACUGCAGGAAUUUCCAAUUGAAAUUUUCUCUGUGUUUAAAUAAAUGUCAGGCAGUUCUAACA
RNAcentral lists this long non-coding RNA (1048 nucleotides) under Betta splendens (Siamese fighting fish). RNAcentral's name for it is "lncRNA (ENSBSLG00000012606.1)". Lineage: Eukaryota; Metazoa; Chordata; Actinopteri; Anabantiformes; Osphronemidae. The record is from RNAcentral.